RNAcentral lists this long non-coding RNA (23571 nucleotides) under Triticum aestivum (bread wheat). RNAcentral's name for it is "long non-coding RNA (TAES_LNC019907)". The record is from RNAcentral. Lineage: Eukaryota; Viridiplantae; Streptophyta; Magnoliopsida; Poales; Poaceae.
ACACAAACCCCGAGAAAGCAUUCCUGGAAAUCUCGGCCCAAAAAAGGACGUUUAGUAAUUCUAAAAGGGACUACAGGAUGAAAAACAAUAGUUUUGGCAGUUAAAGUUUGAGAUUCGAUAAUGCCGUAGAUCCGUUUGGUCAUCAGGUGUAACGAGCCACACCCAUGUCUGGUUAGAGUAGUGUGCUAGGCUCAGACUAGAUAAGAAACGGGGAACAAACUGAUGAAAGAAUGAUCAUACCGAGCGAAUUCACUCAGAACUAACAAGAAUGAUAACAUGCUCCGACUGGAGCGGUUUAGGAACUGCUGGAAGGCUCUAGGGGAAUAAAGAUGGAAUGACUUCUAAUUUUUAGGUCCGUAUGAUUUGAAAUACUUGCACACAAACCACGCGAAAGCGUUCCUGGAAAUCUCAGCCCAAAAAAGGACGUUUAGUAAUUCUAAAAGGGACUACAGGAUGAAAAACAAUAGUUUUGGCAGUUAAAGUUUGAGAUUCGACAGUGCCGUAGAUCCGUUUGGUCAUCAGGUAUUACGAGCCACACCCAUGUCUAGCUAGAAUAGUGUGCUAGGCUCAGGCUAGAGAAGAAACGGGGAACAAACUGAUGAAAGAAUGAUCAAACCGAGGGAAUUCACUCAGAACUAACAAUAAUGAUAACGUGCUCCGACUGGUGCGGUUUAGGAACUGCUGGAAGGCUCUAGGGGAAUAAAGAUGGAAUGACUUCUAAUUUUUAGGUCCGUAUGAUUUGAAAUACUUGCACACAAACCGCGCGAAAGCGUUCCUGGAAAUCUCAGCCCAAAAAAGGACGUUUAGUAAUUUUAAAAGGGACUAUAGGAUGAAAAACAAUAGUUUUGGCAAUUAAAGUUUGAGAUUCGACGGUGUCGUAGAUCCGUUUGGUCAUCAGGUGUUACGAGCCACACCCAUGUCUAGCUAGAAUAGUAUGUCAGGCUCAGGUUAGAGUAGAAACGGGGAACAAACUGAUGAAAGAAUGAUCAUACCAAGGGAAUUCACUCAGAACUAUCAAGAAUGAUAACGUGCUCCGACUGGAGUGAUUUAGGAACUGCUGGAAGGCUCUAGGGGAAUAAAGAUGGAAUGACUUCUAAUUUUUACGUCCGUAUGAUUUGAAAUACUUGCACACAAAUCACGCAAAAGCGUUCCUGGAAAUCUCAGCCUAAAAAAGGACGUUUAGUAAUUCUAAAAGGGACUACAGGAUGAAAAACAAUAGUUUGGGCAGUUAAAAUUUGAGAUUCGACGGUGCCGUAGAUCCGUUUGGUCAUCAGGUGUUACGAGCGACACCCUUGUCUAGCUAGAAUAGUGUGUUAGGCUCAGACUAGAGAAGAAACGGGGAACAAAGUGAUGAAAGAAUGAUCAUACCGAGGGAAUUCACUCAGAACUAACAAGAAUGAUAACGUGCUCCGACUGGAGCGGUUUAGUAACUGCUGGAAGGCUCUAGGGGAAUGAAGAUGGAAUGACUUCUAAUUUUUAGGUCCGUAUGAUUUGAAAUACAUGCACACAAACCCUGAGAAAGCGUUCCUGGAAAUCUCGGUCGAAAAAAGGAUGUUUAAUAAUUCUAAAAGGGACUACCGGAUGAAAAACAAUAGUUUUGGCAGUUAAAGUUUGUGAUUCGAUGGUGCCGUAGAUCUGUUUGGUCAUCAGGUGUUACGAGCCACACCCAUGUCUAUCUAGAAUAGUGUGUUAGGCUCAGGCUAGAGCAGAAACGGGGAACAGACUUAUGAAAGAAUGAUCAUACCGAGGGAAUUCACUCAGAACUAACAAGAAUGAUAACGUGCUCCGACUGGCGCGGUUUAGGAACUGCUGGAAGGCUCUAGGGGAAUAAAGAUGGAAAGACUUCUAAUUUUUAGGUCCGUAUGAUUUGAAAUACUUGCACACAAACCGCACGAAAGCGUUCCUGGAAAUCUCAGCCUAAAAAGGAUGUUUAGUAAUUCUAAAAGGGACUACAAGAUGAAAAAUAAUAGUUUGGGCAGUUAAAAUUUGAGAUUCGACGAUGCCGUAGAUCCGUUUGGUCAUCAGGUGUUAUGAGCCACACCCAUGUCUAGCUAGAAUAGUGUGUUAGGCUCAGGCUAGAGAAGAAACGGGGAACAAACUGAUGAAAGAAUGAUCAUACCGAGGGAAUUCACUCAGAACUAACAAGAAUGAUAACGUGCUCCGACUGGAGCAGUUUAGAAACUGCUGGAAGGCUCUAAUGGAAUAAAGAUGGAAUGCCUUCAAAUUUCUAGGUCCGUAUGAUUUGAAAUACUUGCACACAAACCGCUCGAAAGCGUUCCUGGAAAUCUCAGCCCAAAAAAGGACGUUUAGUAAUUCUAAAAGGGACUACAGGAUGAAAAACAAUAGUUUUGGCAGUUAAAGUUUGAGAUUCGAUGGUGCCGUAGAUCCGUUUGGUCAUCAGGUGUAACGAGCCACACACAUGUCUAGCUAGAGUAGUGUGCUAGGCUCAGACUAGAGAAGAAACGGGGAACAAAGUGAUGAAAGAAUGAUCAUACCGAGGGAAUUCACUCAGAACUUACAAGAAUGAUAACGUGCUCCGACUGGAGCGCUUUAGUAACUGCUGGAAGGCUCUAGGCGAAUAAAGAUGGAAUGACUUCUAAUUUUUAGGUCCGUAUGAUUUGAAAUACUUGCACACAAACCACGCAAAACCGUUCCUAGAAAUCUCGGUCGAAAAAAGGACGUUUAGUAAUUCUAAAAGGGACUACAGGAUGAAAAACAAUAGUUUUGGCAGUUAAAGUUUGAGAUUCGAUGGUGCCGUAGAUCCGUUUGGUCAUCAGGUGUUACGAGCCACACCCAUGUCUAGCUAGAGUAGUGUGCUAGGUUCAGACUAGAGAAGAAACGGGGAACAAAGUGAUUAAAGAAUGAUCAUACCGAGGGAAUUCACUCAGAACUAACAAGAAUGAUAACGUGCUCCGACUGGAGCGGUUUAGGAACUGCUGGAAGGCUCUAGGGGAAUAAAGAUGGAAUGACUUCUAAUUUUUACGUCCGUAUGAUUUGAAAUACAUGCACACAAACCACGCAAAAGCGUUCCUGGAAAUCUCAGCCUAAAAAAGGACGUUUAGUAAUUCUAAAAGGGACUACAGGAUGAAAAAUAAUAGUUUGGGCAGUUAAAAUUUGAGAUUCGACGCUGCCGUAGAUCCGUUUGGUCAUCAGGUCUUACGAGCCACACCCAUGUCUAGCUAGAAUAGUGUGUUAGGCUCAGGCUAGAGAAGAAACGGGGAACAAACUGAUGAAAGAAUGAUCAUACCGAGGGAAUUCACUCAGAACUAACAAGAAUGAUAACGUGCUCCGACUGGAGCAGUUUAGAAACUCCUGGAAGGCUCUAGGGGAAUAAAGAUGGAAUGACUUCAAAGUUUUAGGUCCGUAUGAUUUGAAAUACUUGCACACAAACCGCGUGAAAGCGUUCCUGGAAAUCUCAACCCAAAAAAGGGCGUUUAGUAAUUCUAAAAGGGACUACAGGAUGUAAAACAAUAGUUUUGGCAGUUAAAGUUUGAGAUUCGAUGGUGCCGUAGAUCCGUUUGGUCAUCAGGUGUAACGAGCCACACCCAUGUCUAGCUAGAGUAGUGUGCUAGGCUCAGACUAGAGAAGAAACGGGGAACAAAGUGAUGAAAGAAUGAUCAUACCGAGGGAAUUCACUCAUAACUAACAAGAAUGAUAACGUGCUCUGACUUGAGCGGUUUAGGAACUGCUGGAAGGCUAUAGGGGAAUAAAGAUGGAAUGACUUCAAAUUUUUAGGUCCGUAUGAUCUGAAAUACUUGCACACAAACCGCGAGAAAGCGUUCCUGGAAAUCUCAACCCAAAAAAGGACGUUUAGUAAUUCUAAAAGGGACUACAGGAUGAAAAACAAUAGUUCUGGCAGUUAUUGUUUGAGAUUCGAUAAUCUCGUAGAUCCGUUUGGUCAUCAGGUGUAACGAGCCACACCCAUGUCUAGCUAGAGUAGUGUGCUAGGCUCAGACUAGAGAAGAAACGGGGAACAAACUGAUGAAAGAAUGAUCAUACCGAGGGAAUUCACUUAGAACUAACAAGAAUGAUAACGUGCUCCGACUGGAGCGGUUUAGGAACUGCUGGAAGGCUCUAGGGGAAUAAAGAAGGAACGACUUCUAAUUUUUAGGUCCGUAUGAUUUGAAAUAUGUGCACACAAACCACGAGAAAGCGUUCCUAGAAAUCUCGGCCCAAAAGAGGACGUUUAGUAUUCUAAAAGGGACUACAGAAUGAAAAACAAUAGUUUUGGCAGUUAAAGUUUGAGAUUUGACGGUGCCGUAGAUCUGUUUGGUCAUCAGGGGUUACGAGCCACACCCAUGUCUAGCUAGAAUAGUGUGUUAGGCUCAGGCUAGAAAAGAAACGGGGAACAAAGUGAUGAAAGAAUGAUCAUACCGAGGGAAUUCACUCAGAACUAACAAGAAUGAUAACAUGCUCCGACUGGAGCGGUUUAGGAACUGCUGGAAGGCUCUAGGGGAAUAAAGAUGGAAUGACUUCUAAUUUUUAGGUCCGUAUGAUUUGAAAUACUUGCACACAAACCGCGCGAAAGCGUUCCUGGAAAUCUCAGCCCAAAAAAGGACGUUUAGUAAUUCUAAAAGGGACUACAGGAUGAAAAACAAUAGUUUUGGCAGUUAAAGUAUGAGAUUCAACGGUGCCGUAGAUCCGUUUGGUCAUUAGGUGUUACGAGCCACACCCAUGUCUAGCUAGAAUAGUGUGCUAGGCUCAGGCUAGAGAAGAAACGGGGAACAAACUGAUGAAAGAAUGAUCAAACCGAGGGAAUUCACUCAGAACUAACAAUAAUGAUAACGUGCUCCGACUGGAGCGGUUUAGGAACUGCUGGAAGUCUCUAGGGGAAUAAAGAUGGAAUGACUUCUAAUUUUUACGUUCGUAUGAUUUGAAAAACUUGCCCAUAAACCGCGCGAAAGUGUUCCUGGAAAUCUCAGCCCAAAAAAGGACGUUUAGUAAUUUUAAAAGGGACUACACGAUGAAAAACAAUAGUUUUGGCAGGUAAAGUUUGAGAUUCGACAGUGCCGUAGAUCCGUUUGGUCAUCAGGUGUUACGAGCCACACCCAUGUCUAGCUAGAAUAGUAUGUUACGCUCAGGUUAGAGAAGAAACGGGGAACAAACUGAUGAAAGAUGAUCAUACCAAGGGAAUUCACUCAGAACUAACAAGAAUGAUAACGUGCUCCGACUGGAGCGGUUUAGGAACUGCUGGAAGGCUCUAGGGGAAUAAAGAUGGAAUGACUUCUAAUUUUUACGUCUGUAUGAUUUGAAAUACUUGCACACAAACAACGCAAAAGCAUUCCUGGAAAUCUCAUCCUAAAAAAGGACGUUUAGUAAUUCUAAAAGGGACUACAGGAUGAAAAAUAAUAGUUUGGGAAGUUAAAAUUUGAGAUUCGAUAGUGCCGUAGAUCCGUUUGGUCAUCAGGUGUUAGGAGCCACACCCAUGUCUAGCUAGAAUAGUGUGUUAGGCUCAGGCUAGAGAAGAAACAGGGAACAAACUGAUGAAAGAAUGAUCAUACCGAGGGAAUUCACUCAGAACUAGCAAGAAUGAUAACGUGCUCCGACUGGAGCAGUUUUGAAACUGCUGGAAGGCUCUAGGGGAAUAAUGAUGGAAUGACUUCUAAGUUUUUGGUCCGUAUGAUUUGAAAUACGUGCACACAAACCCAGAGAAAGUGUUCUUGGAAAUCUCGGCCGAAAAAAGGAUGUUUAAUAAUUCUAAAAGGGACUACAGGAUGAAAAACAAUAGUUUUGGCAGUUAAAGUUUGUGAUUCGAUGGUGCUGUAGAUCUGUUUGGUCAUCAGGUGUUAUGAGCCACACCCAUGUCUAGCUAGAACAGUGUGUUAGGCUCAGGCUAGAGCAGAAACGGGGAACAAACUUAUGAAAGAAUGAUCAUACCGAGGGAAUUCACUCAGAACUAACAAGAAUGAUAACGUGCUCCGACUGGAGAGGUUUAGGAACUGCUGGAAGGCUCUAGGGGAAUAAAGAUGGAAUGACUUCAAAUUUUUAGGUCUGUAUGAUCUGAAAUACUUGCACACAAACCGCGAGAAAGCGUUCCUGGAAAUCUCAGCCCAAAAAAGGACGUUUAGUGAUUCUAAAAGGGACUACGGGAUAAAAAACAAUAGUUUUGGCAGUUAAAGUUUGAGAUUCGAUAAUGCCGUAGAUCCGUUUGGUCAUCAGGUGUAACGAGCCACACCCAUGUCUAGCUAGAGUAGUGUGCUAGGCUCAUACUAGAGAAGAAAUGGGGAACAAACUGAUGAAAGAAUGAUCAUACCGAGGGAGUUCACUCAAAACUAACAUGAAUGAUAACGUGCUCCGACUGGAGCGGUUUAGGAACUGCUGGAAGGCUCUAGGGGAAUAAAGAUGGAAUGACUUCUAAUUUUUAGGUCCGUAUGAUUUGAAAUACAUGCACACAAACCCCAAGAAAGCGUUCCUGGAAAUCUCGCCCCGAAAAACGACGUUUAGUAAUUCUAAAAGGGACUAUAGGAUGAAAAACAAUAGUUUUGGCAGUUAAAGUUUGAGAUUUGACGGUGCCGUAGAUCUGUUUGGUCAUCAGGUGUUACGAGCCACACCCAUUUCUAGCUAGAAUAGUGUGUUAGGCUCAGGCUAGAAAAGAAACGGGGAACAAAGUGAUGAAAGAAUGAUCAUACCGAGGGAAUUCACUCAGAACUAACAAGAAUGAUAACAUGGUCCGACUGGAGCGGUUUAGGAACUGCUGGAAGGCUCUAGGGGAAUAAAGAUGGAAUGACUUCUAACUUUUAGGUCCGUAUGAUUUGAAUUACUUGCACACAAACCGCGCGAAAGCGUUCCUGGAAAUCUCAGCCCAAAAAAGGACGUUUAGUAAUUCUAAAAGGGACUACAGGAUGAAAAACAAUAGUUUUGGCAGUUAAAGUUUGAGAUUCGACGGUGCCGUAGAUCCGUUUGGUCAGCAGGUGUUACGAGCCACACCCAUGUCUAGCUAGAGUAGUGUGCUAGGUUCAGACUAGAGAAGAAAUGUUGGGGAACGUAGCAGAAAUUCAAAAUUUUCCUACGUGUCACCAAGAUCUAUCUAUGGAGAGACUAGCAACGAGGGAAGGAGAGUGCAUCUACAUACCCUUGUAGAUCGCUAAGCGGAAGCGUUCAAGUGAACGGGGUUGAUGGAGUCGUACUCGUCGUGAUUCAGCUCACCGAUGAUCCUAGUGCCGAACGGACGGCACCUCCGCGUUCAACACACGUACAGCUCGACGAUGUCUCCCACGCCUUGAUCCAGCAAGGAGAGAGGGAGAGGUUGAGGAAGACUCCAUCCAGCAGAAGCACAACGGCGUGGUGGUGAUGGAGGAGCAUGGCAAUCCUGCAGGGCUUCGCCAAGCACCUAUGGGAGAGGAGGAGGUGUCACGGGAGGGAGGGAGGCGCCAAGGGCUCAGGUAUAGAUGCCCUCCCUCCCCUCCACUAUAUAUAGGGGCAAGGGAGAGGGGGGAGGCGCAGCCUUGCCCCUUCCUCCAAGGAAGGGGUGCGGCUAAGAGGGGGGGAGGAGUCCAUCCUCCCCAAGGCACCUCGGAGGUGCCUUCCCCCUUUAGGACUCUCCCCUUUUUCCUAUAUCUUGGCGCAUGGGCCUCUAGGGGCUGGUUCCCUUGGCCCAUGUAGGCCCAGGCGCACCCCCUACAGCCCAUGUGGCCCCCCGGGGCAGGUGGCCCCACCUGGUGGGCCCCCGGGACCCUUCCGGUGGUCCCGGUACAAUACCGAUGACCCCGAAACUUGUCCCGAUGGCCGAAACAGGACUUCCUAUAUAUAAAUCUUUACCUCCGGACAAUUCCGGAACUCCUCGUGACGUCCGGGAUCUCAUCCGGGACUCCGAACAACAUUCGGUAACCACAUACAAACUUCCUUUAUAACCCUAGCGUCAUCGAACCUUAAGUGUGUAGACCCUACGGGUUCGGGAGACAUGUAGUCAUGACCGAGAUGUUCUCCGGUCAAUAACCAACAGCGGGAUCUGGAUACCCAUGUUGGCUCCCACAUGUUCCACGAUGAUCUCAUCGGAUGAACCACGAUGUCAAGGACUCAAUCAAUCCCGUAUACAAUUCCCUUUGUCUAGCGGUAUGGUACUUGCCCGAGAUUCGAUCGUCGGUAUACCGAUACCUUGUUCAAUCUCGUUACCGGCAAGUCUCUUUACUCAUUUCGUAACACAUCAUCCCGUGAUCAACCCCUUGGUCACAUUGUGCACAUUAUGAUGAUGUCCUACCGAGUGGGCCCAGAGAUACCUCUCCGUUUACACGGAGUGACAAAAUCCCAAUCUCGAUUCGUGCCAACCCAACAGACACUUUCAGAGAUACCCGUAGUGUACCUUUACAGCCACCCAGUUACGUUGUGACGUUUGGCACACCCAAAGCACUCCUACAGUAUCCGGGAGUUGCACAAUCUCAUGGUCUAAGGAAAUGAUACUUGACAUUAGAAAAGCUUUAGCAUACGAACUACAUGAUCUUGUGCUAGGCUUAGGAUUGGGUCUUGUCCAUCACAUCAUUCUCCUAAUGAUGUGAUCCCGUUAUCAACGACAUCCAAUGUCCAUGGUCAGGAAACCGUAACCAUCUAUUGAUUAACGAGCUAGUCAACUAGAGGCUUACUAGGGACAUGGUGUUGUCUAUGUAUCCACACAUGUAUCUAAGUUUCCUAUCAAUACAAUUCUAGCAUGGAUAAUAAACGAUUAUCAUGAACAAGGAAAUAUAAUAAUAAUCAAUUUAUUAUUGCCUCUAGGGCAUAUUUCCAACAGUCUCCCACUUGCACUAGAGUCAAUAAUCUAGUUCACAUCGAUAUGUGAUUAACACUCAAGGUCACAUUCCCAUGUGACUAACACCCAAGAGUUUACUAGAGUCAAUAAUCUAGUUCACAUUUACCAUGUGAUUAACACUUGAUGAGUUCUGGGUUUGAUCAUGUUAUGCUUGUGAGAGAGGUUAUAGUCAACGGGUCUGAACCUUUCAGAUCCGUGUGUGCUUUACAAAUCUCUAUGUCAUCUCCUAGAUGCAGCUACCACGUUCUAUUUGGAGCUAUUCCAAAUAACUGUUCUACUUGGAGCUAUUCUAAAUUGUUGCUCCAUUAUACGUAUCCGGUAUCUCUACUCAGAGCUAUCCGGAUAGGUGUUAAGCUUGCAUCGACGUAACCCUUUACGACGAACUCUUUUACCACCUCCAUAAUUGAGAAAAUUCCUUAGUCCACUAGUUACUAAGGAUAACUUUGACCGCUGUCCUGUGAUCCAUUCUUGGAUCACUCUUGUACCCCUUGACUGACUCAUGGUAAAGCACACUUCAGGUGCGGUACACAGCAUAGCAUACUGUAGAGCCUAUGUCUUAAGCAUAGGGGACGACCUUCGUUCCUUUCUCUCUAUUCUGCCAUGGUCGAGCUUUAAGUCUUAACUUCAUACCUUACAACUCAGGCAAGAACUCCUUCUUUGACUGAUCCAUCUUGAACACCUUCAAGAUCACGUCAAGGCAUGUGCUCACGUCAAGAUCACGUCGGUAUACCGAUACCUUGUUCAAUCUCGUUACCGGCAAGUCUCUUUACUCGUUCCGUAACACAUCAUCCCGUGAUCAACCCCUUGGUCACAUUGUGCACAUUAUGAUGAUGUCCUACCGAGUGGGCCCAGAGAUACCUCUCCGUUUACACGGAGUGACAAAAUCCCAAUCUCGAUUCGUGCCAACCCAACAGACACUUUCAGAGAUACCCGUAGUGUACCUUUAUAGCCACCCAGUUACGUUGUGACGUUUGGCACACCCAAAGCACUCCUACGGUAUCCGGGAGUUGCACAAUCUCAUGGUCUAAGGAAAUGAUACUUGACAUUAGAAAAGCUUUAGCAUACGAACUACAUGAUCUUGUGCUAGGCUUAGGAUUGGGUCUUGUCCAUCACAUCAUUCUCCUAAUGAUGUGAUCCCGUUAUCAACGACAUCCAAUGUCCAUGGUCAGGAAACCGUAACCAUCUAUUGAUUAACGAGCCAGUCAACUAGAGGCUUACUAGGGACAUGGUGUUGUCUAUGUAUCCACACAUGUAUCUGAGUUUCCUAUCAAUACAAUUCUAGCAUGGAUAAUAAACGAUUAUCAUGAACAAGGAAAUAUAAUAAUAAUCAAUUUAUUAUUGCCUCUAGGGCAUAUUUCCAACAGUCUCCCACUUGCACUAGAGUCAAUAAUCUAGUUCACAUCACCAUGUGAUUAACACUGACAGGUCACAUCACCAUGUGACCAACAUCCAAAGAGUCUUGGGUUUGAUCAUGUUGCUUGUGAGAGAGGUUAUAGUCAACGGGUCUGAACCUUUCAGAUCCGUGUGUGCUUUACAAAUCUCUAUGUCAUCUCCUAGAUGCAGCUACCACGUUCUAUUUGGAGCUAUUCCAAAUAACUGUUCUACUUGGAGCUAUUCUAAAUUGUUGCUCCAUUAUACGUAUCCGGUAUCUCUACUCAGAGCUAUCCGGAUAGGUGUUAAGCUUGCAUCGACGUAACCCUUUACGACGAACUCUUUUACCACCUCCAUAAUUGAGAAAAUUCCUUAGUCCACUAGUUACUAAGGAUAACUUUGACCGCUGUCCUGCGAUCCAUUCUUGGAUCACCCUUGUACCCCUUGACUGACUCAUGGUAAAGCACACUUCAGGUGCGGUACACAGCAUAGCAUACUGUAGAGCCUAUGUCUUAAGCAUAGGGGAUGACCUUCGUUCCUUUCUCUCUAUUCUGCCAUGGUCGAGCUUUAAGUCUUAACUUCAUACCUUACAACUCAGGCAAGAACUCCUUCUUUGACUGGUCCAUCUUGAACACCUUCAAGAUCAUGUCAAGGUAUGUGCUCAUUUGAAAGUACUAUUAAGCGUUUUGAUCUAUCCUUAUAGAUCUUGAUGCUCAAUGUUCAAGUAGCUUAAUCCAGGUUUUCCAUUGAAAACACUUUCCAAAUAACCCUAUAUGCUUUCCAGAAAUUCUACGUCAUUUCUGAUCAUUAAUAUGUCAACAACAUAUAAUCAUCAGAAAUUCUAUAGUGCUCCCACUCACUUCUUUGGAAAUACAAGUUUCUCAUAAACUUUGUAUACACCCAAAAUCUUUGAUCAUCAUCAAAGCAUACAUUCCAACUCCGAGAUGCUCACUCCAGUCCUCAGAAGGAUUGCUGGAGCUUUGCAUACUUAUUAGCAUAUUUCAGGAUAGACAAAACCUUCCAGUUGUAUCACAUACAACCUUUCCUCAAGAAUCGUCGACGAAACAAUGUUUUGACAUCCUAUCUGCAAGAUUUCAUAAAUAAUGCAGUAAUUGUUAAUAUAAUUCCAACAGACUCUUAGCAUCGCUACGAGUGAGAAAGUCUCAUUGUAGUCAACUCCUUGAACUUGUCAAAAAACAUCUUAACGACAAGUCGAGCUUUCUCAAUGGUGACACUUACCAUCAUUGUCUGUCUUCCUUUCAAAAUCCAUAUGUACCUAACAGCCUUACGACCAUCAAGUAGUUCUUCCAAAGUCUACACUUUGUUUUCAUACAUGGAUCCUCUCUCGGGUUUUAUGGCCAUGAGCCAUUUAUCGGAAUCCGGGCCCACCAUUGCUUCUCCAUAGCUCGUAGGUUCAUUGUUGUCUAGCAACAUGACUUCCAAGACAGGAUUACUGUACCACUCUGAAGUAGUACGUAUCCUUGUCACCCUACGAGGUUUGGGAGUGACUUGAUCUGAAGUUUCAUGAUCACUAUCAUAAGCUUCUACUUCAAUUGGUGUAGGUGCCACAGGAACAACUUCCUGUGCCCUGCUACACACUGGUUGAAGUGAUGGUUCAAUAACCUCAUCAAGUCUCCACCAUCCUCCCACUCAAUUCUUUCGAGAGAAACCUUUCCUCGAGAAAGGACCCAAUUCUAGAAACAAUUCAUAUUGCUUUCGGAUCUGAAUUAGGAAGUAUACCCAACUGUUUUGGGUGUCCUAUGAAGAUGUACUUUAUCCGCUUUGGUUUCGAGCUUAAUCCUGAAACUUUUUCACAUAAGUGUCGCAGCCCCAAACCUUUAAGAAACGACAACUUAGGUUUCUCUAAACCAUAAUUCAUACGGUGUCAUCUCAUCGGAAUUACGUGGUGCCCUAUUUAAAGUGAAUGUGGUUGUCUUUAAUGCCUAACCCAUAAACUAUCGUGGCAGUUCGAUAAGAGACAUCAUGGUAUGCAUCAUAUCCAAUAGGGUGCAACUAUGAUGUUCGGACACACCAUCACACUAUGGUGUUCCAGGCGGUAUUAAUUGUGAAACAAUUUCCACAAUGUCUUAAUUGUGUGCCAAAACUCGUAACUCAGAUACUCAUCUCUAUGAUCAUAUCAUAGACAUUUUAUCCUCUUGUCACAAUGAUCUUCUACUUCACUCUGAAAUUACUUGAACCAUUCAACAAUUCAGACUUGUGUUUCAUCAAGUAAAUAUUCUCAACAUCUACUCGAAUCAUCUGUGAAGUAAGAACAUAACGAUAUUCACUGCAUGCCUCAGCACUCAUUGGACUGCACACAUCAAAAUGUGUUACUUCCAACAAGUUGCUAUCUUGUUCCAUCUUACUGAAAACGAGGCUUUUCAGUCAUCUUGCCCAUGUGGUAUGAUUUGCAUGUCCCAAGUGAUUCAAAAAUCAAGUGAGUCAAAACGGUCCAUUUGCAUGGAGUUUCUUCAUGCAUAUACACCAAUAGACAUGGUUCGCAUGUCUCAAACUUUUCAAAAACGAGUGAGCCCAAAGAUCCAUCAAUAUGGAGCUUCUUCAUGCGUUUUAUACCGAUAUGACUUACGUGGUAGUGCCACAAGUAGGUGGUACUAUCAUUACUAUCUUUUGGCAUGAACAUGUGUAUCACUACGAUCGAGAUUUAAUAAACCAUUCAUUUUAGGUGUAAGACCAUUGAAGGUAUUAUUCAAAUAAACAGAGUAACCAUUAUUCUCCUUAAAUGAAUAACCGUAUUGCGAUAGACGUAAUCCAAUCAUGUCUAUGCUCAACGCAAACACCAAAUAACAAUUAUUUAGGUUUAACACCAAUCUCUUUGGUAGAGGGAGCGUGCGAUGCUUGAUCAUAUCAAGCAUGGAAAAACUUACAACACAUAUCGUCAGCUCACCUUUAGCUAGUCUCUGUUUAUUCCGUAGCCUUUUGUUUCGAGUUACUAACACUUAGCAACCGAACUGGUAUCUAAUACCCUGGUGCUACUAGGAGUACUAGCAAAGUACACAUUAACACAAUGUAUAUCCAAUAUACUUCUAUCGACCUUGCCAGCCUUCUUAUCUACCAAGUAUCUAGGGUAAUUCUGCUCUAGUAGUUGUUCCCCUUAUUACAGAAGCACUUAGUCUCGGGUUUGGGUUUUACCUUGGGUUUCUUCACUAGAGCAGCAGCUGAUUUGCCGUUUCAUGAAGUAUCCCUUCUUGCCCUUGCCCUUCUUGAAACUAGUGGUUCCACCAACCAUCAACAAUUGAUGCUCCUUCUUGAUUUCUACUUUCGCGGUGUCAAACAUCGCGAAUACCUCAAGGAUCAUCAUAUCUAUCCCUGAUAUGUUAUAGUUCAUCAUGAAGCUCUAACAGCUUGGUGGCAAUGACUUUGGAGAACCAUCACUAUCUCAUCUGGAAGAUCAACUCCCACUCGAUUCAAGCGAUUGUUGUACUCAGACAAUCUGAGCACAAGCUCAACGAUUGAGCUUUUCUCCCUUAGUUUGCAGGUUAAGAAAGUCAUCGGAGGUCUUAUACCUCUUGACAUGGGCACGAGCCUGAAAUCCCAAUUUCAGCCCUCAAAACAUCUCAUAUGUUUCGCGAUGUUUCAAAAACGUCUUUGGUGCCUCAACUCUAAACCGUUUAACUGAACUAUCACGUAGUUAUCAAAACGUGUAUGUCAGAUGUUCGCAACAACCACAGACAACGUUCGAGGUUCAGCACACUGAGCGGUGCAUUAAGGACAUAAGCCUUCUAUGAAGCAAUGAGGACAAUCCUCAGUUUACGGACCUAGUCCGCAUAAUUGCUACUAUCAACUUUCAACUAAUUUUUCUCUAGGAACAUAUCUAAACAGUAGAACUAUAGCGUGAGCUACGACAUAAUUUGCAAAAACCUUUUGACUAUGUUCAGGAUAAUUAAGUUCAUCUUAUGAACUCCCACUCAGAUAGACAUCCCUCUAGUCAUCUAAGUGAUUACAUGAUCCGAGUCAAACUAGGCCGUGUCCGAUCAUCACGUGAGACGGACUAGUCAUCAUCGGUGAACAUCUUCAUGUUGAUCGUAUCUUCUAUACGACUCAUGUUCGACCUUUCGGUCUUCGUGUUCCGAGGCCAUGUAUGUACAUGCUAGGCUCGUCAAGUUAACCCUAAGUGUUUCGCGUGUGUAAAUCUGUCUUACACCCGUUGUAUGUGAACGUUAGAAUCUAACACCCGAUCAUCACGUGGUGCUUCGAAACACGAACUGUCGCAACGGUGCACAGUUAGGGGAGAACACUUCUUGAAAUUGUUGUAAGGGAUCAUCUUAUUUACUACCGUCGUUCUAAGCAAAUAAGAUGUAUAAACAUGAUAAACAUCACAUGCAAUCAAAUAGUGACAUGAUAUGGCCAUCAUCACUUUGCUCCUUUUGAUCUCCAUCUUCGGGGCUCCAUGAUCAUCAUCGUCACCGGCAUGACACCAUGAUCUCCAUCAUCAUGAUCUCCAUCAUCGUGUCUUCAUGAAGUUGCCUCGCCAACUAUUACUUCUACUACUAUGGCUAACGGUUAGCAAUAAAGUAAAGUAAUUACAUGACGUUUAAGUUGACACGCAGGUCACAAAUGAAUAAAGACAACUCCUAUGGCUCCUGCCGGUUGUCAUACUCAUCGACAUGCAAGUCGUGAUUCCUAUUACAAGAACAUGAUCAAUCUCAUACAUCACAUAUAUCAUUCAUCACAUCCUUUUUGGCCAUAUCACAUCACAUAGCAUACCCUGCAAAAACAAGUUAGACGUCCUCUAAUUGUUGUUUGCAUGUUUUACGUGGCUGCUAUGGGUUUCUAGCAAGAACGUUUCUUACCUACGCAUGAACAACAACGUGAUAUGCCAAUUGCUAUUUACCCUUCAUAAGGACCCUUUUCAUCGAAUCCGAUCCGACUAAAGUGGGAGAGACAGACACCCGCCAGCCACCUUAUGCAACUAGUGCAUGUUUGUCGGUGGAACCGGUCUCACGUAAGCGUACGUGUAAGGUUGGUCCGGGCCGCUUCAUCCCACGAUGCCGCCGAAUCAAGAUAAGACUAGUAACGGCAAGCAUAUUGAACAAUAUCAACGCCCACAACUACUUUGUGUUCUACUCGUGCAAAGAAUCUACGCAAUAGACCUAGCUCAUGAUGCCACUGUUGGGGAACGUAGCAGAAAUUCAAAAUUUUCCUACGUGUCACCAAGAUCUAUCUAUGGAGAUACUAGCAACGAGGGAAGGAGAGUGCAUCUACAUACCCUUGUAGAUCGCUAAGCGGAAGCGUUCAAGUGAACGGGGUUGAUGGAGUCGUACUCGUCGUGAUUCAGAUCACCGAUGAUCCUAGUGCCGAACGGACGGCACCUCCGCGUUCAACACACGUACAGCUCGACGAUGUCUCCCACGCCUUGAUCCAGCAAGGAGAGAGGGAGAGGUUGAGGAAGACUCCAUCCAGCAGCAGCACAACGGCGUGGUGGUGAUGGAGGAGCGUGGCAAUCCUGCAGGGCUUCGCCAAGCACCUACGGGAGAGGAGGAGGUGUCACGGGAGGGAGGGAGGCGCCAAGGGCUCAGGUAUAGAUGCCCUCCCUCCCCUCCACUAUAUAUAGGGGCAAGGGAGAGGGGGAGGCGCAUCCUUGCCCCUUCCUCCAAGGAAGGGGUGCGGCUAAGAGGGGGGGAGGAGUCCAUCCUCCCCAAGGCACCUCGGAGGUGCCUUCCCCCUUUAGGACUCUCCCCUUUUUCCUAUAUCUUGGCGCAUGGGCCUCUAGGGGCUGGUGCCCUUGGCCCAUGUAGGCCAAGGCGCACCCCCCUACAGCCCAUGUGGCCCCCCGGGGCAGGUGGCCCCACCCGGUGGGCCCCCGGGACCCUUCCGGUGGUCCCGGUACAAUACCGAUGACCCCGAAACUUGUCCCGAUGGCCGAAACAGGACUUCCUAUAUAUAAAUCUUUACCUCCGGACCAUUCCGGAACUCCUCGUGACGUCCGGGAUCUCAUCCGGGACUCCGAACAACAUUCGGUAACCACAUACAAACUUCCUUUAUAACCCUAGCGUCAUCGAACCUUAAGUGUGUAGACCCUACGGGUUCGGGAGACAUGUAGUCAUGACCGAGAUGUUCUCCGGUCAAUAACCAACAGCGGGAUCUGGAUACCCAUGUUGGCUCGCACAUGUUCCACGAUGAUCUCAUCGGAUGAACCACGAUGUCAAGGACUCAAUCAAUCCCGUAUACAAUUCCCUUUGUCUAGCGGUAUGGUACUUGCCCGAGAUUCGAUCGUCGGUAUACCGAUACCUUGUUCAAUCUCGUUACCGGCAAGCCUCUUUACUCGUUCCGUAACACAUCAUCCCGUGAUCAACCCCUUGGUCACAUUGUGCACAUUAUGAUGAUGUCCUACCGAGUGGGCCCAGAGAUACCUCUCCGUUUACACGGAGUGACAAAAUCCCAAUCUCGAUUCGUGCCAACCCAACAGACACUUUCAGAGAUACCCGUAGUGUACCUUUAUAGCCACCCAGUUACGUUGUGACGUUUGGCACACCCAAAGCACUCCUACGGUAUCCGGGAGUUGCACAAUCUCAUGGUCUAAGGAAAUGAUACUUGACAUUAGAAAAGCUUUAGCAUACGAACUACAUGAUCUUGUGCUAGGCUUAGNNNNNNNNNNUGAUCAACCCCUUGGUCACAUUGUGCACAUUAUGAUGAUGUCCUACCGAGUGGGCCCAGAGAUACCUCUCCGUUUACACGGAGUGACAAAAUCCCAAUCUCGAUUCGUGCCAACCCAACAGACAUUUUCAGAGAUACCCGUAGUGUACCUUUAUAGCCACCCAGUUACGUUGUGACGUUUGGCACACCCAAAGCACUCCUACGGUAUCCGGGAGUUGCACAAUCUCAUGGUCUAAGGAAAUGAUACUUGACAUUAGAAAAGCUUUAGCAUACGAACUACAUGAUCUUGUGCUAGGCUUAGGAUUGGGUCUUGUCCAUCACAUCAUUCUCCUAAUGAUGUGAUCCCGUUAUCAACGACAUCCAAUGUCCAUGGUCAGGAAACCGUAACCAUCUAUUGAUUAACGAGCUAGUCAACUAGAGGCUUACUAGGGACAUGGUGUUGUCUAUGUAUCCACACAUGUAUCUGAGUUUCCUAUCAAUACAAUUCUAGCAUGGAUAAUAAACGAUUAUCAUGAACAAGGAAAUAUAAUAAUAAUCAAUUUAUUAUUGCCUCUAGGGCAUAUUUCCAACAAGAAACGGGGAACAAACUGAUGAAAGAAUGAUCAUACCGAGGGAAUUCACUCAGAACUAACAAGAAUGAUAACGUGCUUUGACUGGAGCGGUUUAAAAACUGCUGGAAGGCUCUAGGGGAAUAAAGAUGGAAUGCCUUCAAAUUUCUAGGUCCGUAUGAUUUGAAAUACUUGCACACAAACCGCGCGAAAGCGUUCCUGGAAAUCUCAGCCCAAAAAAGGACGUUUAGUAAUUCUAAAAGGGACUACAGAAUGAAAAACAAUAGUUUUGGCAGUUAAAGUUUGAGAUUCGAUGGUGCCGUAGAUCCGUUUGGUCAUCAGGUGUAACGAGCCACACCCAUGUCUAGCUAGAGUAGUGUGCUAGGCUCAGGCUAGAGAAGAAACGGGGAACAAACUGAUGAAAGAAUGAUCAUACCGAGGGAAUUCACUCAGAACUAACAAGAAUGAUAACGUGCUCCGACUGGAGCGGUUUAGGAACUGCUGGAAGGCUCUAGGGGAAGAAAGAAGGAAUGACUUCUAAUUUUUAGGUCCGUAUGAUUUGAAAUACGUGCACACAAACCGCGCGAAAGCGUUCCUGGAAAUCUCAGCCCAAAAAAGGACGUUUAGUAUUCUAAAAGGGACUACAGAAUGAAAAACAAUAGUUUUGGCAGUUAAAGUUUGAGAUUCGACGGUGCCGUAGAUCCGUUUGGUCAUCAGGUGUUACGAGCCACACCCAUGUCUAGCUAGAAUAGUGUGCNNNNNNNNNNNNNNNNNNNNNNNNNCGUAUGAUUUGAAAUACGUGCACACAAACCGCGCGAAAGCGUUCCUGGAAAUCUCAGCCCAAAAAAGGACGUUUAGUAUUCUAAAAGGGACUACAGAAUGAAAAACAAUAGUUUUGGCAGUUAAAGUUUGAGAUUCGACGGUGCUGUAGAUCCGUUUGGUCAUCAGGUGUUACGAGCCACACCCAUGUCUAGCUAGAAUAGUGUGCUAGGCUCAGGCUAGAGAAGAAAAGGGGAACAAACUAAUGAAAGAAUGAUCAAUACGAGGGAAUUCACUCAGAACUAACAAUAAUGAUAACGUGCUCCGACUGGAGCGGUUUAGGAACUGCUGGAAGGCUCUAGGCGAAUAAAGAUGGAAUGACUUCUAAUUUUUACGUCCGUAUGAUUUGAAAUACUUGCACACAAACCACGCAAAAGCGUUCCUGGAAAUCUCGGCCUAAAAAGGACGUUUAGUAAUUCUAAAAGGGACUACAGGAUGAAAAAUAAUAGUUUGGGCAGUUAAAAUUUGAGAUUCGACGGUGCCGUAGAUCCGUUUGGUCAUCAGGUGUUACGAGCCACACCCAUGUCUAGCUAGAAUAGUGUGUUAGGCUCAGGCUAGAGAAGAAACGAGGAACAAACUGAUGAAAGAAUGAUCAUACCAAGGGAAUUCACUCAGAACUAACAAGAAUGAUAACGUGCUCCGACUGGAGCAGUUUAGAAACUGCUGGAAGGCUCUAGGGGAAUAAAGAUGGAAUGACUUCUGAUUUUUAGGUCCGUAUGAUUUGAAAUACGUGCACACAAACCCCGCGAAAGCGUUCCUGGAAAUCUCAGCCCAAAAAAGGACGUUUAGUAAUUCUAAAAGGGACUACAACAUGAAAAACAAUAGUUUUGGCAGUUAAAGUUUGAGAUUUCAUGGUGCCGUAGAUCUGUUUGGUCAUCAGGUGUUACGAGCCACACCCAUGUCUAGCUAGAAUAGUGUGUUAGGCUCAGGCUAGAAAAGAAACGGGAAACAAAGUGAUGAAAGAAUGACCAUACCGAGGGAAUUCACUCAGAACUAACAAGAAUGAUAACAUGCUCCGACUUGAGCGGUUUAGGAACUGCUGGAAGGCUCUAGGGGAAUAAAGAUGGAAUGACUUCUAAUGUUUAGGUCCGUAUGAUUUGAAAUACUUGCACAUAAACCGCACAAAAGCGUUCCUGGAAAUCUCAGCCCAAAAAAGGACGUUUAGUAAUUCUAAAAGGGACUACAGGAUGAAAAACAAUAGUUUUGGCAGUUAAAGUUUGAGAUUCGACGGUGCCGUAGAUCCGUUUGGUCAUCAGGUGUUACGAGCCACACCCAUGUCUAGCUAGAAUAGUGUGUUAGGCUCAGGCUAGAGAAGAAACUUGGAACAAACUGAUGAAAGAAUGAUCAAACCAACGGAAUUCACUCAGAACUAACAAUAAUGAUAACGUGCUCCGACUGGAGCAGUUUAGGAACUGCUGGAAGGCUCUAGGGGAAUAAAGAUGGAAUGACUUCUAAUUUUUAGGUCCGUAUGAUUUGAAAUACUUGCACGCAAACCGCGCGAAAGCGUUCCUGGAAAUAUCAGCCCAAAAAAGGACGUUUAGUAAUUCUAAAAGGGACUACAGGAUGAAAACAAUAGUUUUGGCAGUUAAAGUUUGAGAUUCAACAGUGCCGUAGAUCCGUUUGGUCAUCAGGUGUUAUGAGCCAUACCCAUGUCUAGCUAGAGUAGUGUGCUAGGCUCAGGCUAGAGAAGAAACAGGGAACAAACUGAUGAAAGAAUGAUCAUACCGAGGGAAUUCACUCAGAACUAACAAGAAUGAUAACGUGCUCCGACUGGAGCGGUUUAGGAACUGCUGGAAGGCUCUAGGGGAAUAAAGAUGGAGUGACUUCUAAAUUUUUAGGUCCGUAUGAUUUAAAAUACUUGCACACAAACCGCACGAAAGCGUUCCUUGAAAUCUCAGCCCAAAAAAGGACGUUUAGUAAGUCUAAAAGGGACUAUAGGAUGAAAAACAAUAGUUUUGGCAGUUAAAGUUUGAGAUUCGAUGGUGCCGUAGAUCUGUUUGGUCAUCAGGUGUUACGAGCCACACCCAUGUCUAGUUGGAAUAGUGUGCUAGGCUCAGACUAGAGAAGAAACAGGGAACAAACUGAUGAAAGAAUGAUCAAACCGAGGAAAUUCACUCAGAACUAACAAUAAUGAUAACAUGCUCCGACUGGAGCGGUUUAGGAACUGCUGGAAGGCUCUAGGGGAAUAAAGAUGGAAUGACUUCUAAAUUUUUAGGUCCGUAUGAUUUGAAAUAGUUGCACACAAACUGCGCGAAAGCGUUCCUGGAAAUCUCAGCCCAAAAAAGGACGUUUAGUAAUUCUAAAAGGGACUAUAGGAUGAAAAACAAUAGUUUUGGCAGUUAAAGUUUGAGAUUCGACGGUGCCGUAGAUCCGUUUGGUCAUCACGUGUUACAAGCCACACCCAUGUCUAGCUAGAGUAGUGUGCUAGGCUCAGACUAUAGAAGAAACGGGGACCAAACUGAUGAAAGAAUGAUCAAACCGAGGAAAUUCACUCAGAACUAACAAUAAUGAUAACAUGCUCCGACUGGAGCGGUUUAGGAACUACUGGAAGGCUCUAGGGGAAUAAAGAUGGAAUGACUUCUAAAUUUUUAGGUCCGUAUGAUUUUAAAUAGUUGCACACAAACUGCGCGAAAGCGUUCCUGGAAAUCUCAGCCCAAAAAAGGACGUUUAGUAAUUCUAAAAGGGACUACAGGAUGAAAAACAAUAGUUUGGGCAGUUAAAAUUUGAGAUUCGACGGUGCCGUAGAUCCGUUUGGUCAUCAGGUGUUACGAGCCACACCCAUGUCUAGCUAGAGUAGUGUGCUAGGCUCAGGCUAGAGAAGAAACAGGGAACAAACUGAUGAAAGAAUGAUCAUACCGAGGGAAUUCACUCAGAACUAACAAGAAUGAUAACGUGCUCUGACUGGAGCGGUUUAAGAACUGUUGGAAGGCUCUAGGGGAAUAAAGAUGGAAUCACUUCAAAUUUUUACGUCCGUGUGAUUUGAAAUACUUGCACACAAACCGCACGAAAGCGUUCCUGGAAAUCUCAGCCCAAAAAAGGACGUUUAGUAAGUCUAAAAGGGACUACACGAUGAAAAACAAUAGUUUUGGCAGUUAAAGUUUGAGAUUCGACAGUGCCGUAGAUCCGUUUGGUCAUCAGGUGUAACGAGCCACACCCAUGUCUAGAUAGAGUAGUGUGCUAGGCUCAAACUAGAGAAGAAACGGGGAACAAACUGAUGAAAGAAUGAUCAUACCGAGGGAAUUCACUCAGAAAUAACAAGAAUGAUAACGUGCUCUGACUGGAGCGGUUUAGGAACUGCUGGAAGGCUCUAGGGGAAUAAAGAAGGAAUGACUUCUAAUUUUUAGGUCCGUAUGAUUUGAAAUACGUGCACACAAACCCCGAGAAAGCGUUCCUGGAAAUCUCGACCCAAAAAAGGACGUUUAGUAAUUCUAAAAGGGACUACGGGAUGAAAAACAAUAGUUUUGGCAGUUAAAGUUUGAGAUUCGAUAAUGCCGUAGAUCCAUUUGGUCAUCAGGUGUAACGAGCCACACCCAUGUCUAGCUAGAGUAGUGUGCUAGGCUCAGACUAGAGAAGAAACAGGGAACAAACUGAUGAAAGAAUGAUCAUAUCGAGGGAAUUCACUCAGAACUAACAAGAAUGAUAACAUGCUCCGACUUGAGCGGUUUAGGAACUGCUGGAAGGCUCUAGGGGAAUAAAGAUGGAAUGACUUCUAAUUUUUAGGUCCGUAUGAUUUGAAAUACUUACACACAAACCACGCGAAAGCGUUCCUGGAAAUCUCAGCCCAAAAAAGGACGUUUAGUAAUUCUAAAAGGGACUACAUGAUGAAAAACAAUAGUUUUCGCAGUUAAAGUUUGAGAUUCGACGGUGCCGUAGAUCCGUUUGGUCAUCAAGUGUUACGAGCCACACCCAUGUCUAGCUAGAAUAGUGUGUUAGGCUCAGCCUAGAGAAGAAACGGGGAACAAACUGAUGAAAGAAUGAUCAUACCGAGGGAAUUCACUCAGAACUUACAAGAAUGAUAACGUGCUCCGACUUGAGCGGUUUAAGAACUGUUGGAAGGCUCUAGGGGAAUAAAGAUGGAAUCACUUCAAAUUUUUACGUCCGUGUGAUUUGAAAUACUUGCACACAAACCCCGAGAAAGCGUUCCUGGAAAUCUCGGCCGAAAAAAGGAUGUUUAAUAAUUCUAAAAGGGACUACAGGAUGAAAAACAAUAGCUUUGGCAGUUAAAGUUUGUGAUUCGAUGGUGCCGUAGAUCUGUUUGGUCAUCAGGUGUUAUGAGCCACACCCAUGUCUAGCUAGAAUAGUGUGUUAGGCUCAGGCUAGAGCAGAAACUAGGAACAAACUUAUGAAAGAAUGAUCAUACCGAGGGAAUUCACUCAGAACUAACAAGAAUGAUAACGUGCUCCGACUGGAGCGGUUUAGGAACUGCUGGAAGGCUCUAGGGGAAUAAAGAUGGAAUGACUUCUAAUUUUUAGGUCCGUAUGAUUUGAAAUACAUGCACACAAACCCCAAGAAAGCGUUCCUAGAAAUCUCAGCCCAAAAAGGACGUUUAGUAAUUCUAAAAGGGACUACAGGAUGAAAAACAAUAGGUUUGGCAGUUAAAGUUUGAGAUUCGAUAAUGCCGUAGAUCCGUUUGGUCAUCAGGUGUAACGAGCCACACCCAUGUCUAGCUACAUUAGUGUGCUAGGCUCAGACUAGAGAAGAAACGGGGAACAAACUGAUGAAAGAAUGAUCAUACCGAGGGAAUUCACUCAGAACUAACAAGAACGAUAACAUGCUCCGACUGCAGCGGUUUAGGAACUGCUGGAAGGCUCUAGGGGAAUAAAGAAGGAAUGACUUCUAAUUUUUAGGUCCGUAUGAUUUGAAAUACUUGCACACAAACCGCGCGAAAGCAUUCCUGGAAAUCUCAGCCCAAAAAAGGACGUUUAGUAAUUCUAAAAGGGACUACAGGAUGAAAAACAAUAAUUUUGGCAGUUAAAGUUUGAGAUUCGACGGUGCCGUAGAUCCGUUUGGUCAUCAGGUGUUACGGGCCAUACCCAUGUCUAGCUAGAAUAGUGUGUUAGGCUCAGGUUAGAGAAGAAACGGGGAACAAAGUGAUGAAAGAAUGAUCAUACCGAGGGAAUUCACUCAGAACUAACAAGAAUGAUAACGUGCUCCGACUGGAGCGGUUUAGGAAUUGCUGGAAGGCUCUAGGGGAAUAAAGAUGGAAUGACUUCUAUAUUUUACGUCCGUAUGAUUUGAAAUACUUGCACACAAACCACGCAAAAGCACUCCUGGAAAUAUCAGCCUAAAAAGGAUGUUUAGUAAUUCUAAAAGGGACUACAGGAUGAAAAAUAAUAGUUUUGGCAGUUAAAAUUUGAGAUUCAACGGUGCCGUAAAUCCGUUUGGUCAUCAGGUGUUACGAGCCACACCCAUGUCUAGCUAGAAUAGUGUGUUAGGCUCAGGUUAGAGAAGAAACGGGGAACAAACUGAUGAAAGAAU